CCGACCGGGUGAGUAACACGUAUCCAACCUGCCGUCUACUCUUGGACAGCCUUCUGAAAGGAAGAUUAAUACAAGAUGGCAUCAUGAGUCCGCAUGUUCACAUGAUUAAAGGUAUUCCGGUAGACGAUGGGGAUGCGUUCCAUUAGAUAGUAGGCGGGGUAACGGCCCACCUAGUCUUCGAUGGAUAGGGGUUCUGAGAGGAAGGUCCCCCACAUUGGAACUGAGACACGGUCCAA
Molecule: ribosomal RNA, 236 nt
Filed under: uncultured bacterium
Lineage: Bacteria
Description: partial 16S ribosomal RNA
Rfam family: Bacterial small subunit ribosomal RNA
Source: RNAcentral